This 112-nucleotide small nucleolar RNA is filed under the name Suricata suricatta (meerkat). RNAcentral describes it as "Small nucleolar RNA SNORA70 (ENSSSUG00005012346.1)". It matches the Rfam family "Small nucleolar RNA SNORA70". From Rfam's summary of the family: snoRNA U70 seems to be exclusive to mammals and is a member of the H/ACA class of snoRNA which contain H (ANANNA) and ACA box motifs. H/ACA box snoRNAs are involved in the conversion of uridines to pseudouridines (5-ribosyluracil) a constituent of structural RNAs (transfer, ribosomal, small nuclear, and small nucleolar). The record is from Rfam by way of RNAcentral. Lineage: Eukaryota; Metazoa; Chordata; Mammalia; Carnivora; Herpestidae.
CUGCAGUUAAUUAGGACUGCUAUGCUCUUUUCCCUGUAAGGGUCCAGGGUCCAGUGGCUCCAAGCAGCACCUUCUGGGUAGUGUAUCAGCCUUAGGGGCUUCAGAGAGAGCC